Molecule: long non-coding RNA, 738 nt
Organism: Mesocricetus auratus (golden hamster)
Lineage: Eukaryota; Metazoa; Chordata; Mammalia; Rodentia; Cricetidae
Exons: 2
Source: RefSeq, a predicted model, not a curated record
AGGAGGGAGAGAUUGGCUCUCUGUGUGGCCCUGGCUGUCCUGGAACGCACUCUGUAGACCAGACUGGCUUCCACCUCAGAGAUCAGACUGCUUCUGCCUCUGCUGAGAUUAAAGGCACAAGCCACAACGCCUGGCCAAGGCCAGGACUUUUAGGUCUGAGGGAAAAGGCUUGUGGCCUGAACUGUUGGGAGAGGGAGGAGAGUGAAGACCAGAACUCCUGGUGUGAGAGGCUCAUAUCCUACCCAGUUAGGGAGCAAGGUUGGAGUCCCAAUUUUCUAGUUUGAGAGAGGGCUGGGGCCAGGCCCCCUGUAUCUGAGGGUCUGGAUCCUGUCUGAGGGAGGAGGCUGGGAUCAGGACCCCUGGUCUGAAGGAGGGGACUAUUUCACUGGCACCUGUCCCACAAACUCAUAUUCAGUGUCUUCAACCACAGAAACUUACUGCUUCACAGUUUUGGAGGCUAGAGGACCAAGACCACCGACAUGAGUAUCUGGGAAAGUCUUCCGUGGUGUUGCCAGCCUGCCUCAGCCAUGCUUCAAACCUGCAGUUAUCCCUGUCUAUGCUGGCUCUCCUUGGGCUCACUGACGUUCACCUGGCUGCUGAACAUCUGACCUUGUCCUCUGCCUGAGGAUUUUACUGAGGGAGCUAACAGCCUGGUGCAUCCAGCCAUGACACAGAAGGCUCAGGCAUGAGUAGUCGGGGGCCAGGAGCACUUAAUAAAGGCCCAGCAAAUAAAGUCUA